AACUCCCAGAAUUCCUGAGCUAACGUGACUGGAGGAAGAAUUCUGGGAGUUGAAUCCACAAGUCUUAAAGCUGUCAAGUUUGAAGACCCCCUGCCGUAUACAGUAGUGAUUGUGGUGGAAUCUGUGUUUUGAACCCGGCACCUUUACAAUGGGCCAAGGACUUUUCAAACUCUCUCACCCAGAGGGUAUGCCAGGUGCCUUCGAAGCUGUUGAAUUGUAGGAUUUGAAAUGAGUCUUCCAACGUAAAGUUGCUGCUAAAGCACAUUUUAAGGAAAACCCAGAUUUUACCAAAUGCUUACACACACGUUUAACUUGCAAACACGGAAGCUUUGAUUUGAAACGAUCCAUUGAAACGUGCCUUUCCGAGAGUUUCUUAAUCUGGAAAAAAAAAUGCCUAACAUUUCUUGUGCUGCUGGCCAAAACAAGUGUGUGCGUUGUGCUGUGACUGUGAGUUGUUUGUUAUGGUCCUCCAAAGCCUUCUAUGGUUUGAGAAUAUGAUUGGCAAAUGUUAACAAAGCA
Non-coding RNA from Notechis scutatus (mainland tiger snake), 519 nucleotides. The record is from RefSeq and is a predicted model, not a curated record. NCBI's taxonomy places the organism in Eukaryota, Metazoa, Chordata, Lepidosauria, Squamata, Elapidae.